GUAUUUGUCAUGACAGGAAGCCUUGAACUGCAGCCUUGUGUGGCCUCUCUAGCAACCUAGGUUUGAUGGGGAGUGUGAUGAGGGUUUCAGCAGGGCAGCCUGGAUAACCCAAGCCAGGCGGAGACAAAGGAGCAUCUGCCUCAGACGAAAAUCUCAGAAGCUGUGGGGAUGGCUGUCUGCCCGGAAGCCUGCCCCCUCUCGCUCAGCACAGCUAGCUUCCCCUGCCCUGCAGGAAGCUGGACAAGAUGGUGGAAAGCCUGAGUUAGCUGAGCUAGUCCUGGAGUACAGGGUGCCUAUGGGAGCCUAUAGGACGAUGACAUCAGAACAGUGACAUCACAGUAAAAACCUCCAAAAACGGUAAGGAGGAGCAAAAGCCCUGCUUUCUCACCCCAGGAGACCAGCACCCUGAGCAGGGAGAUGCUUAGUCCUGACCUGCCUGACUCUGCCUGGAACACCAGGCUCCUCUGCCAUGUCAUGCUUUGUCUCCUGGGAGCAGGUUCAGUGGCUGCUGGAGUCAUCCAGUCCCCAAGACACCUGAUCAAAGAAAAGAGGGAAACAGCCACUCUGAAAUGCUAUCCUAUCCCUAGACACGACACUGUCUACUGGUACCAGCAGGGUCCAGGUCAGGACCCCCAGUUCCUCAUUUCGUUUUAUGAAAAGAUGCAGAGCGAUAAAGGAAGCAUCCCUGAUCGAUUCUCAGCUCAACAGUUCAGUGACUAUCAUUCUGAACUGAACAUGAGCUCCUUGGAGCUGGGGGACUCAGCCCUGUACUUCUGUGCCAGCAGCUUAGGCACAGCCCUGGAGAAUUACUGGCUUUCUGUACCCAAACCCUCCUAUCUCACUUGGGGAUGUAAUAGGGAGAAGGAGGUGGGGGCUGCCACACAGAUUUAGCUAAGCCCCAGAGAUACUUCUAUUCUUUUCUAACAUUUUCCCCUGCCCUGCUGAGCUCAGUGAGAGCUCCUGCACUUGUGGGCUCCAGACCCACUGGAAGUUCUCACAUCUUAGCCAGUACUUUUUAAUUCCUAGCAAGUGGCGGGAGCUCCUACUCUGUGCCAACAUAUGGGUAUAUGUUUUAGUGUGUUUCCUGUUGCCAUACAGAAUACCUGAGACUGGGUAUUUUAUAAAGAAAUGAAAUUUGUUUCUUACAGCUCUGGAGGUUGGGAAGCCCAAGGUCAAGGACCCACAUCUAGUGAGGACCUUCUUGCUGGUGAGGACUCUGCAGAGUCCCCAGGUGGCACAGGGCAUUACAUAUGAGGGGGCUCAUGAAAGAUGGUCAAACUGGCUUUUAUAACAGACCCAAUCUCAUAACUAACUAAUUCCUUCUAUAACCCAUAAAUCCAUGAAUGGAUUAACUUUUACGAGGGCAGAGUCCUUAAGACGCAGUCACCUUCCAAAGGUCCUACCUCUCAACACUGCUGCAUUGGGAACCAAGUUUUCAAUAUAUAAAUUAUUUAGGAACACAGUCAAAUCAUAGCCGUACACAUUGCGGGUUUUUUUUUUUUUCUUUUUUGAGACAGGGUCUCACUCUGUCACCCAGGCUGGAGUGCAGUGGUGUUGUGAUCAUGGCUCAUUGCAACCUUGAGCGCCUGGGUUCAAGCAAUCCUCCCGCCUCAGCUGCCUGAGUAGCUAUGACUACAGGGACACAUCACUACAAGGUGUGUCCCCAGUUCCUCAGUUCCUACAAGGUGAUGUGUCCCCCUGCCUGGCUAAUUUUUUUUAAUUUUUAUUUUUGUAGAGAUGAGGCCUUGUCAUGUUGUCCAGAUUAGUCUCAAACUCCUCAAAUGAUCCUCCUGAGUUCAUGUAUUUUAAUGCAAAGAUAGACAUUAGCAUAUCCACUUUAUAAAUGUAGAAGACUUCAGUGUACCAUUUUAUAGAUAGGAAGCUGUAGCUCAUGAACUUCUCCAGUAUUUCAUAUUUCCGAGGAUCAAAGGCAGGAUCCAAACCUAUGACUCCAUGCCUCCAAAAUAAAAUUUCUAAAAUUCUAUAGUGUUUCCUGGGCCUUGGUCAAUGAGCUACAGCAGAGCACUAUUCUUCCAUCUCAAGACUAGCCAAGCAGUAGAAGAAGGUCACUUAUUACGGAAUGUGGUUACUAUGGCUUAUGGCCUGCCAACCUCCAGGACAUGUAACUUCCGGCCGGAGAAUAUUUGUCCUGUUUUAGUUCCAUAAAGAAUGGGGCCACAAUAUGUCCUAAUAUAGACAUAUAGUGACAGGGGCAUUUCUAAUACAUCAGAGGGUUCAGUCAAGGAAACAGAAUCCUCUAGGAAUUCCAGGGAGAAUAGGAGUUAAUACAGGGAAUUAGUGGUUAUAAACCACUGGAAGGCUGAGAAGUGGGAGGUUCUCAGAAGGUUGAAGCUUGCACUCAGGCCCUCCACUAGUGAUCACAAAGGCUGAAGUUGCUACUUUUGCCCAGGUCAGGGACUACUGGAAAUAGCUGAGAGUCAUAGUGGUCUUGCAGUGACCAAGAGGGUGAUUCACAGGAAAGUAUCCAGCGGUCGUUGCAAAUCCACCUGUCUGUUGCUGUCAGAUAAAAGUCUUUAUUCUGCUUCUAACUUUUCCACAAGUAUAGCUUACUGGGGGAAGCAAAACUGUUUUCAGAAACUUGCUCUCAGGAGAAUCUAGGAAAUGUCUUUUUUUUUUUUUUUUGAGAUGGAGUCUCGCUCAGUCACCCAGGCUGGAGUGCAGUGGCGCGAUCUCGGCUCACUGCAAGCUCCACCUCCUGGGUUCACGCCAUUCUCCUGCCUCAGCCUCCCUAGUAGCUGGGACUACAGGCACCCGCCACUACGCCCGGCUAAUUGUUCUGUAUUUGUAGUAGAGACGGGGUUUCACCAUGUUAGCCAGGAUGGUCUCAAUCUCCUGACCUCGCGAUCCACCCAUCUCAGCCUCCCAAAGUGCUGGGAUUACAGGCGUGGGCCACUGUGCCCGGCCUGGGAAAUGUACUUUCAAGUCUUCUAGCUCUUGCAAUAAGAGAGAGAGAGAGAGAUUGUUGGAGGACAUUUAGGGGUACUCAGUGCCAAAAGACAAUCAUCAGCACACCCAGCUAUGCAGCAGAGAAAUGGAAAGCAGGAGAAUAAAUUUUAUAUUUUCUGUC
Pongo pygmaeus (Bornean orangutan) is the source of this 3088-nucleotide non-coding RNA. NCBI's taxonomy places the organism in Eukaryota, Metazoa, Chordata, Mammalia, Primates, Hominidae. The record is from the annotation of a RefSeq genome assembly.